Molecule: unclassified non-coding RNA, 21 nt
Filed under: Mus musculus (house mouse)
Lineage: Eukaryota; Metazoa; Chordata; Mammalia; Rodentia; Muridae
Description: oocyte_clustered_small_RNA992
Source: RNAcentral
CAGGUGAUUGAGGUUAUGGUU